AGCACAGAGGACCCUUGCUCCUUGGGUGCGCGAGUGAGCGUACGGGUGAGGAAUACAUCGGAAUCUACUCUGUCGUGGGGGAUAACGUAGGGAAACUUACGCUAAUACCGCAUACGACCUACGGGUGAAAGCAGGGGACCUUCGGGCCUUGCGCGAUUGAAUGAGCCGAUGUCGGAUUAGCUAGUUGGCGGGGUAAAGGCCCACCAAGGCGUACGAUCCGUAGCUGGUCUGAGAGGAUGAUCAGCCACACUGGAACUGAGACACGGUCCAGACUCCUACGGGAGGCAGCAGUGGGGAAUAUUGGACAAUGGGCGCAAGCCUGAUCCAGCCAUACCGCGUGGGUGAAGAAGGCCUUCGGGUUGUAAAGCCCUUUUGUUGGGAAAGAAAUCCAGCCGGCUAAUACCUGGUUGGGAUGACGUCCCAAAG
This 426-nucleotide ribosomal RNA is filed under the name uncultured bacterium. RNAcentral's name for it is "bacterial SSU rRNA". It matches the Rfam family "Bacterial small subunit ribosomal RNA", at positions 64 to 484 of the family's 1533-position model. The record is from RNAcentral.